RNAcentral lists this ribosomal RNA (445 nucleotides) under uncultured bacterium. RNAcentral describes it as "bacterial SSU rRNA". It matches the Rfam family "Bacterial small subunit ribosomal RNA", at positions 355 to 796 of the family's 1533-position model. The record is from RNAcentral.
UAAGGAAUAUUGGACAAUGGAGGCAACUCUGAUCCAGCCAUGCCGCGUGAAGGAUGAAGGUGCUAUGCAUUGUAAACUUCUUUUGAACGGGAGAAAACCUUUGGUCGUGUACCGAAGCUGAUAGUACCGUUAGAAUAAGGGUCGGCUAACUUCGUGCCAGCAGCCGCGGUAAUACGAAGGACCCGAGCGUUAUCCGGAUUUAUUGGGUUUAAAGGGUGCGUAGGCGGAACAGUAAGUCAGUGGUGAAAGCCUGUUGCUUAACAACAGAACUGCCAUUGAUACUGCUGAUCUUGAGUACAUAUGAUGUGGGCGGAAUGUGCCAUGUAGCGGUGAAAUGCUUAGAUAUGGCACAGAACACCGAUUGCGAAGGCAGCUCACAAAACUGUUACUGACGCUGAGGCACGAAAGCGUGGGGAUCAAACAGGAUUAGAUACCCCUGUAGUCC